This 81-nucleotide ribosomal RNA is filed under the name Nitrospirota bacterium. Its description in RNAcentral is "Nitrospirae bacterium (groundwater metagenome) partial 16S ribosomal RNA". It matches the Rfam family "Bacterial small subunit ribosomal RNA", at positions 1 to 80 of the family's 1533-position model. The record is from RNAcentral. Lineage: Bacteria; Pseudomonadati; Nitrospirota.
AUCAAAUGAGAGUUUGAUCCUGGCUCAGAACGAACGCUGGCGGCGUGCCUAACACAUGCAAGUCGAACGGAGUUAACAAGC